RNAcentral lists this ribosomal RNA (377 nucleotides) under uncultured bacterium. RNAcentral's name for it is "bacterial SSU rRNA". It matches the Rfam family "Bacterial small subunit ribosomal RNA", at positions 425 to 793 of the family's 1533-position model. The record is from RNAcentral.
GUAAAGUACUUUCAGCAGUGAGGAAGGUGGUGCAGUUAAUAGCUGUAUCAUUUGACGUUAGCUGCAGAAGAAGCACCGGGCUAACUCCGUGCCAGCAGCCGCGGUAAUACCGGAGGGUGCGAGCGUUAAUCGGAAUUACUGGGCGUAAAGCGCAUGCAGGUGGUUUGUUAAGUCAGAUGUGAAAGCCCCGGGGCUCAACCUCGGAAUUGCAUUUGAAACUGGCAGACUAGAGUACUGUAGAGGGGGUAGAAUUUCAGGUGUAGCGGUGAAAUGCGUAGAGAUCUGAAGGAAUACCGGUGGCGAAGGCGGCCCCCUGGACAGAUACUGACACUCAGAUGCGAAAGCGUGGGGAGCAAACAGGAUUAGAUACCCUGUAG